This is a non-coding RNA of Thamnophis sirtalis, 6274 nucleotides long. The record is from RefSeq and is a predicted model, not a curated record. NCBI's taxonomy places the organism in Eukaryota, Metazoa, Chordata, Lepidosauria, Squamata, Natricidae.
AAUCUGAUGCUGUUACCCAGUUGGGUAGUGAAACCUUUGCAAGCAAAGCAAACUUAGAGAGCACCAAGCACUCGACAGUUCAAUCUUGAGUUACAUAUAUUCUUUUCUAUUGGAGAUAUAUCAAUAUUUUGUGAUUUCCUAUAUGCUCUGAUUAUGUGUCAUCAUUAUCAUCAUCACCAUCAUCCAGAAAAGAAAUACCCAGGCAUAGGAAGUAGUGAGAAGGAAGUUGUACUUUUGUGUAUUAAAUGAAUAUUGUGUCUACUCAUCUUCUGGGGAUCUUAAAAGGGUCCUAGGAUCAGACUCAGAUAUAGCAGAAUCCACAACUUCUCUAAGCAACACAUUCCACUACUAGGCUUAUCUUGAGUCCUGCAGCUCAUAUUCCUUGUUGUGACCUUUCAUUAGCCCAGUGUCCUUAGCUCCCUCAGUUAUGUAAUUGAUUGUCGCCACUGAUUUAAAUUGCCUGUAGCUUCAUUAGCAAAAAAUAAUGUUCUCUUCUCUGCUUCUUUCAGACCUAGCAGAUAGUAGGUCUCAAAGUGUUCCUAUUGACCUGCAUUAUUCCUGUGAUGCAAAUCAGAACAGCCACCUUGCUUGUUUGGAAAUGUUGCACAGAGAACACAAUACUUAAUUCAUUGACUUGAUUCAUUUACAGGGAUUUACAUUUCAGACUUUCUUGUCCAAGAAUUGAUCUAUUGGAACAGCUAUAAAUAUAAUGUAAAUUGUAAAUAUUAACAAACAAAAUAUACAGCCAUCAUAGAAUUGAGCCAUUGAUCCCAAGAUAGUUCACUUUUUCUUGACUUUGGCAACUUUUAAGGUGUAAUAUUCAACUCCCAGAAUUCCCCAGCCAGCAUGUUUUUAUGUACUUGCAUGCUGAUAUCAGGUCUCCCCCUCAAUCUUCUUUUUUUUUCUCAGCUGAACAACCUUAAGUUCUUUAAGCUUGUCCAUAAACAUGAUGCUUUCCAGAAGAGUUGGGAUGCUGGAUAGAUGUUUCCCCACCAAACUUCCCUGAAUGAUAUGAAUUUAGGGAUUUGGGGGUAGUUAAACGGAUGAAUUGACAGAAAUAAACAGAAACCAUUACCUAAGUAAAAAGGCUGAAACAUUUUUAAUACCCAGAAUUGAUGAGAGCUGGACAGCAUAUAAGUGAUGAUGAUGAUAAUGAUUGUCCAAAGAUAACAUUUGCAAAUGGCUCAUGCAGACACUUCCCUGAUUUUAGUGGACUACAGUAAGGAACAAUUGGUACAGCACAAUCAAAUUUACAAGGUUUUGCUCUUUUAGCCAAUCUCAGUCAAUAAAAAUAGUUUAGUUUUCACGUGGAAUUCAUUUCCUGAUCUGGUCACCUACUGGAGCUGACAUGUAGAAUAUGCUUGCACAACAUGCUUAGCAUGUUGGUAUGAACCGUGGGUAAGUUACAUAUCCAGUCAUCCAAUCUCGUAGGGAGUGGAUAUUUUGGAUAGCAGCUCAGCCCUUUUCAUGUUUUUCAUAUUUAUACCCUAAAAUGUCAAAGUCCAUGCCCCAUAAAGCAUAGCAGGGGCAAAAAAUACAGAGAAAAACAAAAUGGCUGCCAAAGACUUAUUUUGCAGCUGCCACAAUCAUUACCGGUAAUCUCUAGCUGGAGAUAGGAAAAUGGAUUGAUUUCAGAAUAACCCUGGGUGAAAUUCAGAUGUAAUAGGGAACUCAGGAUAAAGUUCUUUAUGACUCAUCUCAAGUAGAAACAAUGACGAAGAUAUUUGGUGUUAGCUCAAUUUUGUCCCAAGGUCUCAAAUUGAGUAAUACAGAAGGUACUGAUUAGUAUGUGUGCCAGGUGUUGGCUGAGUAGCAUGAUUUAACUGCCUUAAGAAGGUGGAACAGGAAACACUGCAACAGCCAGGCCACUCCUCUUAAUCUUUCAUUCUCCAGAGCUUCAGUGGCAAUGAGGGAGGCCUCCCAAGGAGGACUUGUGAUUGAUGUUGUCUUAGGUCUGAGACUGUAAGAUAAGAGACCCGAAAUCUCUUCUCAUGGAGUGACUGUUAGAGUGAAGGAGACAGACCACUGAUGCCAUUAUAGAUGUUUCAAAAUGUGGUGGCCCAAAUCCAUGAUGGGAUAGUUGCACUGGAAUAUAAUUACGGUAAACUUAUCUUGAAAUUGCUGAAUUUGUUGCUGGGUAUUUUUCAGAGCUAACUUGGAAUACUAAGUAUUGUUGCUUCUUCUUCUUUUUUUUAAAACAUAAUUUCAUUAAUAAAGCAGCAAAAAUAAAGUACAUGCUAAAAAAAUAUGAAAAGGGUGCAAGAAAGCAACUUCCCCAAAAGUGACUUCCUACAAUGUUUAUGACAAAUGUAAGUUCCACAUCUCUCCAUGACUUCUUCAUCGCAAAACUCACGUGUUAACAUUAAGCAAAGCAAAUUAAGUAACCUGUUCUCCAAUCUGUUUAUCAGCAAGACAGAAAUCUAAAAUAUUUAGCUUAACUAACAUAAAAUCAACAUUCCACAUCUUAAUUCUUAGCUAUGACACAAUCCUAUUUAUAAAGCAUAAAAUAUCUUAAUGUAAAAAAAUCAAAAAUCCAAUUUAAUGUAACAUUGAGAAACUUUUCCUCUUUACGUGUGAAAAACCCCAGUACUUAAAUAUUAAUAGUUCCCUGAAAAAAAGCCACUCUAAAUGCAACAUAUCCCGUUCAAACAUUUUAAAUCUUAACUAUAAAUAAAUUCACAAUUCAGAAAUAUAAACUAAUUCCAUUAUCAUAAUAGAAACAAUGGAUUAAAAUAUAACGAGAAAUGACUUGUCCUUUAUAGACAAAUUAAAUUUCUUUACUUAGAAUAAAAAACACAAGUAUUAUCAAAGCUAAGAAAUGAUAAUUUCUUAAAAUAUAAUCAAAUUUAGUAUGCAAUAUUUUCCAAUUACAAUAUCAAUAAAUCCCAAAAAGAGCCACCCAAAAUAAUAACAUAUCCCAUUUUUACCCCUGGUCAAAUAAUCCAACAAUGUACAAAACAUCACUUCUAAAGCCCUUCAUGGCAUUUCACUGAGUUAUAUGAGGCAACUUUUUUUGCUACUUUCUGAUUCAAAUCCCUAGAGAAGGUCUGUCGGGGCCUUCUAGUUUACAAGCUCCAUGGGGUAAGAAUCAGAUAACAGGUUUUUUCAGUGGUGGCCCCCAUUUUUUGUACUACCUUACCCCCAGAAGUGAAAAUAAUUCCCCCUUUCCCUAUAUUUAAGGGACAUAUCAAAACUAUUUUAAUAUAGCAGUUAUUUGAACCCUGGUUUGUGUUGGUAUCUUUUAUUUUAUUUUAUUAUGGUUUUAGUUGUGUGUAGUACCAUAGCUAUGUUGUAUGCUAAACAGGGUUGAUUAAGGUGGCUUGGAAAUACACUAAAUAAAUAUUAGUUGCUGAAUGACAAUGGCUAUUUGUAUCAUCAGAACAAUGGCUUUCAUUUUUUCCUUUGGGAGGGAGAAAGAAACUCAGAUGACAUACUGCAGGCUUCAGUUAUAAGUAUCGUCCAAGUAUAUACGGCUGAGUAUAUAGGCCUAUGUAGAGUAUAUAGGAUUUCAUACAGGAUUUGAAAUCCAAAAUAUGAUUUCUUAAAAAUGUCUGCUUAUUUAUAAUCUUUGUUUCAAUGGUGUUUCUAUGUAAAAUGACCCUUGGCAUUGUCCCUAUUAUUUUUCACUGGGCAUCUGGCUUUCCCAGAUUAGGAUCUUUCUAUUUUUAUGCCUAUCAUAGGGAAAAAUAAAAAGGAAACGAUAAAGACCUUACGUCUGACAGGUCCAGAACCAAAUCCUUUUCCUAGGAGCGCUAGGAUUAGUUUAGUAGAUGGAAGUAAAUAGGAGAUUAUGAAAUCAUUGAAAUGUCACCAAAAGGAAAAGUGGGGCUCAGUAAAAGUGGGAAGGUAUGAAGAGGAGAGAUUGUUCCUGAAAUUAAAAAAAACAAAACAAAACAGAGCAGGAUGUUGUGCUGAAAAUGAAAUGUGCUAUACAAAGUUAUCCAGGUCACUUAGCAAACAAGAAGGAAAGAGUUCUUAAUGCGCACUGGCCUAUCUCGAUCAUAAAAAUCCCAUAUUGCGUGUGACUGCAUUUGCUUUUCCCCCCCCCAUCGGUGUUUUGUUUUUGCCUGAAAUGCAGCUGGAAUGAAGUCUCAACCUAGUCAGUGCAAGAUGGAUUUUCCUCCUUUUAUCUUUAUGGCUUCUCUUGUCUUCACUAUAAGCUUUGUGGGGUGAGAUCUUAUCUUGUUAAUAAAUUGUUGUAUAUAAUGAUUGUGCUUUAAAUAAUUGUAUAUUUACAAACGAGGACUGGUCACAUGUUUAUUUCUUUUUUUGAAGCUUAUACCGCCAUCCAUCUCUUAAAACAAGUGACCAUAUAUAGCGGAUGUGAACAUUACACUGAUUCAGAAGAGAGUAUAUUGAGAUCAGUUCAGUACUUUAUCAUUUAUAUCCUGUGCUCUUUAUUACACAACACAAACCAAUAUAUUUAUUUAACACCUCCUUUAAUUCAGUGAAUUCGGAUUCAAAGUAGGUUGCUGGCAAAAAUAGCUAGUUGUUUUACCAAUUCUACUCUUUAAAGAAGAUUCCCAUGAACAUGAGAGGUUCAACUACAGUUGAUAACUAUGAUGAUGAUUAUUAUUUUUAAAUUCAUGUAUUCUGUUCUUAGGUGGAGCUUCCAGUUAUCUGCCAUCCAGAAUGUUUAUCAGGCUAACAUCUGCUCACUCCAGCUGCUGGUAUUUCCAAACUGUUUAAUAGCUGUUCUUGCAUCAACUUUUCCUUUGAAAAGCUAAGCAGUGGGUUUAUGAGGUGAGAUGAGUGGAUUUAUCUUGCUAGCAAAGAGACUUGCCAACAUACAAUCAGUAUUUAAGAUUUCAGCACUUGAGAUUCUUUAUAGGGAAUAGUAUGAGACCUGCUUCAUCCAAAUGCUCUACUCCUGGUAUUGAUAUAUGGAAACCUUACUUAUAUGGAUUUCAAUUACCAGAAUUCCUCAACUAGCAUGAUGCUAACCCAGAAUUUGAUGAUUUGCUGGUCACAUAAGAUAUUUUGGGCAAGUAAACUUUAAACAAAACAGUUGCAAUAUUUAGGACGUCUUGGAAUGUUAUGACCACCAUAGUCUAUCUUGCUUCUGUCCACAGUGCAAUUUCAUUUGGUUGUAGAACGGAUUUCAAUGAGAUCAACUCAAUACGGUUCUUCAAAAAAGAAGCUCAAGAUGAAAAAAUUUGUAGACAAAAGGAAUUUCUCCAUGGAUAAAGCUCACUUUAUAUACCUGGGAUCAACUGAGGAGGAUUUUUCUUCACUGUUCUCUUUUGGAGUUCAAGAUUACUGUUGACUUCAAUGGCCAGGGGCCCAUCUAUGAUCAGUGAAAGGAAGAGAGUGCAGAACAGUAGAUGCAUCUGAAACACAAAUCAGAAGAUCAUUUCAGAUUUUGGAAACAUUGCCAAUAAACUGCUAUUUUAUUAAUUCCCUUCCCCUCUGUCCCUGCUAGUGCUCUUAUGUUUUAAACACAAGUCUUACAUAUUAAAAAACAAAGAAUAAACUUUUAUUCAGGCACUUUUAAAAUAUUUAGCUAUAGGUAAGUAUGGCUGGAGCUAGAAAAAUGUGGUCAAUUUGAGUAGUAAGAAAUGAGGGGGGAGGGAAAUGCCAGGCUUUUGAACAUCAAGCCAAAAUGAUUCAAUGCACAUUGCAUAAGCUAUUUUUGAAGACAAGAAUUCCCCAUUAAACAAGUCACCAAUUCAAUUUACUCUUAAGUAACUGUCCAAAAAAUCAUAGAUUGAAUGACUACAGCGAACUGGUAACUUACUAUGAUUGACUGAUUGAACUGAAUUAUAUAGUAUGGAGGAGAGACAUUUAUAUUUGUUCAAUUUACCCCCCCCCCUUUCUGCAAUUCUUGGAGGAAAGGAGUAUUUCCAUUACAUGCCUUGUUGCCAAUUAGAGUGGAGAAGUUGCCUAUAAUGAGAUGAAGCCCAGGUGUACUAGAUGUGGCUGCUAGGGCCAACAUAACUUUAAAAAAUGACAUUUUGAUCUCUAGCAGAAAAAGAUGAGUGGAAGUUUGCCUUCCUGGGCAUAUGAAGAUCAGGCAUUUCAGACUCAUAUAUAAGAUGUAGCUCAAUUUUUACCCCAAGAAGAUGGUUUUUAGAGAAAUCACCGUGUCACUCUACUACAAAUAAUAAACUACAAAGACAAGGCUACUGAGCAAAAAUAGAGGCACUGAUUUUAAGCCGAAAAACAUCAGUAAAAUGUCACCAGGAUAUUUAUCUGCCCUUCUUCUAAAAGACAUCUAUCCACAAGUCACGUUAGAGAUCCUCAGUCAUCCAAGUAAUAGUUGUCCUAAAGGUGC